Molecule: ribosomal RNA, 497 nt
Filed under: uncultured bacterium
Lineage: Bacteria
Description: partial 16S ribosomal RNA
Rfam family: Bacterial small subunit ribosomal RNA
Source: RNAcentral
GAUGAACGCUGGCGGCGUGCCUAAUACAUGCAAGUCGAGCGAACGGACGAGAAGCUUGCUUUUCUGAUGUUAGCGGCGGACGGGUGAGUAACACGUGGAUAACCUACCUAUAAUACUGGGAUAACUUCGGGAAACCGGCGCUAAUACCGGAUAAUAUUUUGAACCGCAUGGUUCAAAAGUGAAAGACGGUCUUGCUGUCACUUAUAGAUGGAUCCGCGCUGCAUUAGCUAGUUGGUAAGGUAACGGCUUACCAAGGCAACGAUGCAUAGCCGACCUGAGAGGGUGAUCGGCCACACUGGAACUGAGACACGGUCCAGAGUCCUACGGGAGGCAGCAGUAGGGAAUCUUCCGCAAUGGGCGAAAGCCUGACGGAGCAACGCCGCGUGAGUGAUGAAGGUCUUCGGAUCGUAAAACUCUGUUAUUAGGGAAGAACAGAUGUGUAAGUAACUGUGCACAUCUUGACGGUACCUAAUCAGAAAGCCACGGCUAACUACGUG